This 253-nucleotide ribosomal RNA is filed under the name uncultured bacterium. RNAcentral's name for it is "partial 16S ribosomal RNA". It matches the Rfam family "Bacterial small subunit ribosomal RNA", at positions 524 to 776 of the family's 1533-position model. The record is from RNAcentral.
UACGUAGGUGGCGAGCGUUGUCCGGAAUUACUGGGUGUAAAGGGCGUGUAGGCGGGAAUGUAAGUCAGAUGUGAAAUGCCGGGGCUUAACCUCGGAGCUGCAUCUGAAACUGCGUUUCUUGAGUGUCGGAGAGGAAAGUGGAAUUCCCAGUGUAGCGGUGAAAUGCGUAGAUAUUGGGAGGAACACCAGUGGCGAAGGCGACUUUCUGGACGACAACUGACGCUGAGGAGCGAAAGCGUGGGGAGCAAACAGG